RNAcentral lists this ribosomal RNA (498 nucleotides) under fungal sp. TRN213. RNAcentral's name for it is "SSU rRNA". It matches the Rfam family "Eukaryotic small subunit ribosomal RNA", at positions 57 to 560 of the family's 1831-position model. The record is from RNAcentral. Lineage: Eukaryota; Fungi.
GUCUAAGUAUAAGCAACUAUACUGUGAAACUGCGAAUGGCUCAUUAAAUCAGUUAUCGUUUAUUUGAUAGUACCUUACUACAUGGAUAACCGUGGUAAUUCUAGAGCUAAUACAUGCUAAAAACCUCGACUUCGGAAGGGGUGUAUUUAUUAGAUAAAAAACCAAUGCCCUUCGGGGCUCCUUGGUGAUUCAUAAUAACUUAACGAAUCGCAUGGCCUUGCGCCGGCGAUGGUUCAUUCAAAUUUCUGCCCUAUCAACUUUCGAUUGUACGGUAGUGGCGUACAAUGGUAUCGACGGGUAACGGCGAAUUAGGGUUCGAUUCCGGAGAAGGAGCCUGAGAAACGGCUGCUACAUCCAAGGAAGGCAGCAGGCGCGCAAAUUACCCAAUCCCAAUUCGGGGAGGUAGUGACAAUAAAUACUGAUACAGGGCUCUUUUGGGUCUUGUAAUUGGAAUGAGUACAAUUUAAAUCCCUUAACGAGGAACAAUUGGAGGGCAGU